GGGGGCGGUCAUAGGGAGUGGGGAAACACCCGCUCUCAUCCGAACGCGGAAGUUAAGCCC
This 60-nucleotide ribosomal RNA is filed under the name Nitrososphaeria archaeon. Lineage: Archaea; Thermoproteati; Nitrososphaerota; Nitrososphaeria. The record is from RNAcentral.